This 29-nucleotide small RNA is filed under the name Bombyx mori (domestic silkworm). Its description in RNAcentral is "piRNA piR-bmo-1961554". The record is from RNAcentral. Lineage: Eukaryota; Metazoa; Arthropoda; Insecta; Lepidoptera; Bombycidae.
UGAUAUGAUAAUUUGGAUAAUGUACAGGC